GUGAGGAAUUUUCCGCAAUGGGCGAAAGCCUGACGGAGCAAUGCCGCGUGAAGGAUGAAGGCCUAUGGGUUGUAAACUUCUUUUCUCAGAAAAGAAUUAUGACGGUAUCUGAGGAAUAAGCAUCGGCUAACUCUGUGCCAGCAGCCGCGGUAAGACAGAGGAUGCAAGCGUUAUCCGGAAUGAUUGGGAGUAAAGCGUCUGUAGGUUGUUUAAAAAGUAUUCUGUCAAAGAUUAGGGCUUAACCCUAGAUAGGCAGAAUAAACUUUUAAGCUAGAGUUUGGUAGAGGCAGAGGGAAUUCCCGGUGAAGCGGUGAAAUGCGUAGAUAGCGGGAGGAACACCAAAGGCGAAGGCACUCUGCUGGGCCAAUACUAACACUGAGAGACGAAAGCGAGGGGAGCAAAUGGGAUUAGAAACCCCAGUAGUCC
This 426-nucleotide ribosomal RNA is filed under the name uncultured bacterium. RNAcentral describes it as "partial 16S ribosomal RNA". It matches the Rfam family "Bacterial small subunit ribosomal RNA", at positions 354 to 796 of the family's 1533-position model. The record is from RNAcentral.